AAAAAGGCCGGAAUAGCUUCA
This 21-nucleotide transfer RNA is filed under the name Haplocladium microphyllum. RNAcentral's name for it is "partial tRNA-Phe". Lineage: Eukaryota; Viridiplantae; Streptophyta; Bryopsida; Hypnales; Leskeaceae. The record is from RNAcentral.